AUGCUUCUAAAUUUCGUUCUUCCAUCUUCAAGAAGUCUCUCUAUGUCCAUUCUUCGUUCUUCCAUCUUCUUCCUCAAAUCAUUUUCAAAUCUCCUUACAUAUUUGUUUGAUAUUGUUCCUCUUUAUCUAUCAUUCAAAUUACCCAUAUUUACUGCCACUGUAUUUCUACCACCCUGUUUUUGCCGCUCCGCCACCAUCAUUCUCUUUUGA
Molecule: non-coding RNA, 210 nt
Organism: Vicia faba (fava bean)
Lineage: Eukaryota; Viridiplantae; Streptophyta; Magnoliopsida; Fabales; Fabaceae
Source: the annotation of a GenBank genome assembly